UUAGGAAAUCCCGUCAAGAGGCCACAGAUUAUCAGUAUCGGUGUCAACAGCUGGAAAAGGAGCUGAAGGAUCUUAAAGAUUACGAGCAGCAGACAAAGCCAAAGAGAACGAAAAUAAUGUCCGAGUUGCUAAUAUCUGUUUCAAAAGCUGAGAGACAAGAGGCUCGGAUGAAAGUGCGCCAGGAAUCAUUGAGACUGGGCAAUGUGGGAGUAAUCAGAGCUGGAACCAUUAUAUCUGAGGCCUGGGAAGAUGGGCAAGCACUAAAGGACCUGAAUGCUCAACUUAGAAACUUAUUAGAAACAAAAGAAGCUAUUGAACGGCAGCGUAAAUUGUUGAAGAAACGACAACCAGAUAAAAGUGAUGGAGGAGAUGUGGAGGGAGGUUUGCAGGAAGAAGAUUCUUUCAUUCAGGAUGAAAUCUACAAAUCUCGUUUAACUAGCAUCAAACGAGAGGAGGAUAUGAUAAUGCGUGAGAGAGAUCGGUAUGAACUAGAGAAAGGAAGGCUCAUUCGUGAAAUGAAACGCAUACGUGAUGAAGACGGUUCUCGUUUUAACAAUUUUCAGAUUUUGAACCACCGAUAUGCCCUCUUAAACCUUCUUGGAAAAGGAGGAUUUAGUGAGGUCUAUAAGGCUUUUGACUUGGUAGAUCAUAGAUAUGUUGCAUGUAAGCUACAUGGACUAAAUGCUCAGUGGAGCGAAGAGAAG
This 704-nucleotide unclassified non-coding RNA is filed under the name Hevea brasiliensis (rubber tree). The record is from RNAcentral. Lineage: Eukaryota; Viridiplantae; Streptophyta; Magnoliopsida; Malpighiales; Euphorbiaceae.